CCUACGGGAGGCAGCAGUCGAGAAUCAUUCACAAUGGGGGAAACCCUGAUGGUGCGACGCCGCGUGGGGGAAUGAAGGUCUUCGGAUUGUAAACCCCUGUCAUGUGGGAGCAAAUUAAAAAGAUAGUACCCCAAGAGGAAGAGACGGCUAACUCUGUGCGAGCAGCCGCGGUAAUACAGAGGUCUCAAGCGUUGUUCGGAAUCACUGGGCGUAAAGCGUGCGUAGGCUGUUUCGUAAGUCGUGUGUGAAAGGCGCGGGCUCAACCCGCGGACGGCACAUGAUACUGCGAGACUAGAGUAAUGGAGGGGGAACCGGAAUUCUCGGUGUAGCAGUGAAAUGCGUAGAUAUCGAGAGGAACACUCGUGGCGAAGGCGGGUUCCUGGACAUUAACUGACGCUGAGGCACGAAGGCCAGGGGAGCGAAAGGGAUUAGAUACCCUAGUAGUC
This 446-nucleotide ribosomal RNA is filed under the name uncultured bacterium. RNAcentral's name for it is "partial 16S ribosomal RNA". It matches the Rfam family "Bacterial small subunit ribosomal RNA", at positions 338 to 795 of the family's 1533-position model. The record is from RNAcentral.